Felis catus (domestic cat) is the source of this 85-nucleotide transfer RNA. It matches the Rfam family "tRNA". Rfam says of the family: Transfer RNA (tRNA) molecules are approximately 80 nucleotides in length. Their secondary structure includes four short double-helical elements and three loops (D, anti-codon, and T loops). Further hydrogen bonds mediate the characteristic L-shaped molecular structure. tRNAs have two regions of fundamental functional importance: the anti-codon, which is responsible for specific mRNA codon recognition, and the 3' end, to which the tRNAs corresponding amino acid is attached (by aminoacyl-tRNA synthetases). tRNAs cope with the degeneracy of the genetic code in two manners: having more than one tRNA (with a specific anti-codon) for a particular amino acid; and 'wobble' base-pairing, i.e. permitting non-standard base-pairing at the 3rd anti-codon position. The record is from Rfam. Lineage: Eukaryota; Metazoa; Chordata; Mammalia; Carnivora; Felidae.
GCCCGGGUGGCUCAGUUGGUUAAGCGUCUGACUUCAGCUCAGGUCAUGAUGUCACAGUUCGUGAGUUUGAGUCCCGCAUCGGGCU